GACGAACCGAGCGAACGUUGUUCGGAAUAACUGGGCUUAAAGGGCGCGUAGGCGGCCUGUCAAGUCUGGGGUGAAAUCCCGCGGCUCAACCGCGGACCCGCCUCGGAUACUGACGGCCUCGAGGGGGGUAGGGGCGAGCGGAACUAAUGGUGGAGCGGUGAAAUGCGUUGAUAUCAUUAGGAACUCCGGUGGCGAAGGCGGCUCGCUGGACCUCUUCUGACGCUGAGGAGCGAAAGCUAGGGGAGCAAACGGG
RNAcentral lists this ribosomal RNA (253 nucleotides) under uncultured bacterium. Its description in RNAcentral is "partial 16S ribosomal RNA". It matches the Rfam family "Bacterial small subunit ribosomal RNA", at positions 524 to 776 of the family's 1533-position model. The record is from RNAcentral.